Molecule: ribosomal RNA, 347 nt
Filed under: uncultured bacterium
Lineage: Bacteria
Description: partial 16S ribosomal RNA
Rfam family: Bacterial small subunit ribosomal RNA
Source: RNAcentral
CCUACGGGUGGCUGCAGUGGGGAAUAUUGGGCAAUGGGCGCAAGCCUGACCCAGCAACGCCGCGUGAAGGAAGAAGGCUUUCGGGUUGUAAACUUCUUUUCUCAGGGACGUAGAAAGUGACGGUACCUGUGGAAUAAGCCACGGCUAACUACGUGCCAGCAGCCGCGGUAAUACGUAGGUGGCAAGCGUUAUCCGGAUUUAUUGGGUGUAAAGGGCGUGUAGGCGGGAUCGUAAGUCAGAUGUGAAAAUUCAGGGCUCAACCCUGGGCCUGCAUUUGAAACUGUGUUUCUUGAGUGCUGGUGAGGCAGUCGGAAUGUCGUGUGUAGCGGUGAAAUGCGUAGAGAUAC